RNAcentral lists this ribosomal RNA (377 nucleotides) under uncultured Sphingobacteriales bacterium. RNAcentral describes it as "bacterial SSU rRNA". It matches the Rfam family "Bacterial small subunit ribosomal RNA", at positions 1004 to 1382 of the family's 1533-position model. The record is from RNAcentral. Lineage: Bacteria; Pseudomonadati; Bacteroidota; Sphingobacteriia; Sphingobacteriales.
AAAAGCUUACAUCUCUUCGGAGCAUUUUACGAGGUGCUGCAUGGUUGUCGUCAGCUCGUGCCGUGAGGUGUCGGGUUAAGUCCCAUAACGAGCGCAACCCUACCUUUAGUUGCCAUCAGGUUUAAGCUGGGGACUCUAAAGGAACUGCCUACGCAAGUAGUGAGGAAGCGGGGAUGACGUCAAAUCAGCAGGCCCUUACGUCCAGGGCUACACACGUGCUACAAUGGCCGAUACAGAGGGCAGCUACCUGGUGACAGGAUGCAAAAUCUCCAAAGUCGGUCUCAGUUCGGAUCGGAGUCUGCAACCCGACUCCGUGGAGUUGGAUUCGCUAGUAAUCGCGCAUCAGCCAUGGCGCGGUGAAUACGUUCCCGGGCCUU